UACGAAGGGGGCUAGCGUUGUUCGGAAUUACUGGGCGUAAAGCGCACGUAGGCGGAUCGAUCAGUCAGGGGUGAAAUCCCAGGGCUCAACCCUGGAACUGCCUUUGAUACUGUCGAUCUGGAGUAUGGAAGAGGUGAGUGGAAUUCCGAGUGUAGAGGUGAAAUUCGUAGAUAUUCGGAAGAACACCAGUGGCGAAGGCGACUCGCUGGACAGACAUUGACGCUGAGGUGCGAAAGCGUGGGGAGCAAACAGG
This 253-nucleotide ribosomal RNA is filed under the name uncultured bacterium. RNAcentral's name for it is "partial 16S ribosomal RNA". It matches the Rfam family "Bacterial small subunit ribosomal RNA", at positions 524 to 776 of the family's 1533-position model. The record is from RNAcentral.